AGAGAUUGAUCCUGUCUCAGAGUGAAUGCUGGCGGCGUGUCUAACACAUGCAAGUCGAACGAGAAAGUUUUCUUCGGAAAGCAAGUAAAGUGGCAGACGGGUGAGUAAUGCAUAGAUAAUCUACCCAAAAGUAAGGAAUAACUCGUUGAAAAGCGAGCUAAUACCCUAUAAUAUUUUCUCUUUUCAUAAGAUUUAAUUAAAGGAGGGGCUUUCUAUAUGAAUCCUUCCGCUUUUGGAUGAGUCUAUGUCCUAUUAGCUUGAUGGUAGGGUAAUGGCCUACCAUGGCGAUGAUGGGUAGCCGAGCUGAGAGGCUGAUCGGCCACACUGGAACUGAAACACGGUCCAGACUCCCACGGGAGGCUGCAGUGGAGAAUUUUGCGCAAUGGGCGAAAGCCUGACGCAGCGACGCCGCGUGAGGGAUGAAGGCCUUCGGGUCGUAAACCUCUGUCAAAAAGGAGUAACCGUAUACAUACUAAUAAUAUGUAUAUCUGACAUUACUUUUAGAGGAAGUCCCGGCUAAUUACGUGCCAGCAGCCGCGGUAAUACGUAGGGGACUAGCAUUACUCGGAAUUACGGGGCGUAAAGAGAACGUAGGCGGUUUAACAAGUUAGUGGUGAAAGUCCUCGGCUUAACCGAGGGAUUGCCAUUAAAACUGUUAAACUUGAGGACAAGAGAGGAAAGUGGAAUUCCUAGUGUAGCGGUGGAAUGCGUAGAGAUUAGGAAGAAUAUCAGGAGCGAAGGCGACUUUCUGGAUUGUUCCUGACGCUGAGGUUCGAAAGCUAGGGUAGCGAACAGGAUUAGAUACCCUGGUAGUCCUAGCCGUAAACGAUGGAUACUAGACUUUGCAUAUGCAGGGUCGUAGCUAACGCGUUAAGUAUCCCGCCUGGGUAGUACAGUCGCAAGGCCGAAACUCAAAGGAAUUGACGGGGACCCGCACAAGCAGUGGAGCAUGUGGUUUAAUUCGAUUCAACGCGAAAAACCUUACCUGGGCUUGAACUUUAGGUAUUAGCUACCUGAAAGGGAUAGUGAUCCGCCUCUGGCGGAACCUAGAGAGGUGCUGCAUGGCUGUCGUCAGCUCGUGUCGUGAGAUGUUGGGUUAAGUCCCGCAACGAGCAAAACCCCUAUUCUUAGUUGUCAGCGAGUUAUGUCGGAUACUUUAAGAAUACUGCCGGUGAUAAAUCGGAGGAAGGUGGGGAUGACGUCAAGUCAGCAUGGCCUUUAUGUCCAGGGCUACACACGUGCUACAAUGGGUGGUACAAAGGGAAGCCAAGUCGUGAGACGGAGCAGAUCCCCAAAACCACUCUCAGUUCGGAUUGCAGGCUGCAAUUCGCCUGCAUGAAGUUGGAAUUGCUAGUAAUCGCGGAUCAGAAAUGUCGUGGUGAAUACGUUCUCGGGUCUUGUACACACCGCCCGUCACAUCACGAAAGCUGGUUGUGCCAGAAGUCAUUUUUCCAACCUUUUAGGAGGAAAAUGCCCAAGGCAAAACUAGUGAUUGGGGUGAAGUCGUAACAAGGUA
RNAcentral lists this ribosomal RNA (1516 nucleotides) under metagenome. RNAcentral describes it as "bacterial SSU rRNA". It matches the Rfam family "Bacterial small subunit ribosomal RNA". The record is from RNAcentral.